UACGGAGGGGGCGAGCGUUAUUCGGAAUUAUUGGGCGUAAAGGGCGCGUAGGCGGCUUGACAAGUCAAAGGUGAAAUCCCUCGGCUCAACUGAGGAACUGCCUUUGAAACUGUCUGGCUUGAGGCCGGGAGGGGGUAGCGGAAUUCCCAGUGUAGCGGUGAAAUGCGUAGAUACUGGGAGGAACACCUAUGGCGAAGGCAGCUCGCUGGGACGUUACUGACGCUGAGACGCGAAAGCGUGGGGAGCAAACAGG
This 253-nucleotide ribosomal RNA is filed under the name uncultured bacterium. Its description in RNAcentral is "partial 16S ribosomal RNA". It matches the Rfam family "Bacterial small subunit ribosomal RNA", at positions 524 to 776 of the family's 1533-position model. The record is from RNAcentral.